Triticum aestivum (bread wheat) is the source of this 408-nucleotide long non-coding RNA. RefSeq lists it as uncharacterized. Lineage: Eukaryota; Viridiplantae; Streptophyta; Magnoliopsida; Poales; Poaceae. The transcript has 3 exons. The record is from RefSeq and is a predicted model, not a curated record.
CCACGAACGGAACCUGCGCACGGAGGCGGUAGCGCGGGGUGGCAGCCGGCAAUGAGGCGGCCGCGCUACGUGACGAGCUACGGGUCCCCCUUUGUGAUGUUUUGGCAUCGCUCCUUCAUCGCACAUCCUCAGGUACGUCAAUUCACUUCCUUCCCUUCCCUUCGUCCCUCGGUCCCACGCUCGUGGCGCUGAAGUGGUGGCAACAGGCGAUGGCGGUGGUGUCGCUGAUGGCGGCGAGGACAGCAUGUGGCAGCUCCCGAAGCAUGAACACGACCGCACCUCGGGCCUGCCGUCUGCCAAGAUAUGGCUCUGGCCGAUUGACAAUGGAGGUUUGGGAUCCUUCCUCUCAGCACCCACUCCUGGAAGAAUCAGCGGUGCGCCACGCCGAUUGAACCCCGUCGAGAUCAC